This 423-nucleotide ribosomal RNA is filed under the name uncultured bacterium. RNAcentral describes it as "bacterial SSU rRNA". It matches the Rfam family "Bacterial small subunit ribosomal RNA", at positions 359 to 775 of the family's 1533-position model. The record is from RNAcentral.
GAAUUUUUCUCAAUGGGCGAAAGCCUGAAGGAGCGACGCCGCGUGGAGGAUGAAGGUCUUCGGAUUGUAAACUCCUGUCAUUGGUGAACAAAGCCAUCGGUUAACUGCCGUUUGGUCUGAUAGUAGCCGAAGAGGAAGGGACGGCUAACUCUGUGCCAGCAGCCGCGGUAAUACAGAGGUCCCAAGCGUUGUUCGGAUUCAUUGGGCGUACAGGGUGCGUAGGUGGCGGGGCAAGUCUGGUGUGAAAUCCCGGGGCUCAACCCCGGAACUGCACUGGAUACUGCUUUGCUAGAGUACUGGAGAGGGAACUGGAAUUUACGGUGUAGCAGUGAAAUGCGUAGAUAUCGUAAGGAAGACCAGUGGCGAAGGCGAGUUCCUGGACAGUUACUGACACUGAGGCACGAAGGCCAGGGGAGCAAACGG